RNAcentral lists this ribosomal RNA (1418 nucleotides) under metagenome. RNAcentral's name for it is "bacterial LSU rRNA". It matches the Rfam family "Bacterial large subunit ribosomal RNA", at positions 1466 to 2876 of the family's 2925-position model. The record is from RNAcentral.
GGGGGGACGGAUCGCGGAAGGUUGUCCGGGUGUUGGAAGUCCCGGUCCUUGCAUUGGAGAAGGCGCUUAGGCAAAUCCGGGCGCGGAAUUCAAGGGUGUGAGGCGAGCGGCUUAGGCCGCGAAGCAAUCGGAAGUGGUUCCAAGAAAAGCCUCUAAGCUUCAGUCUAACAAGACCGUACCGCAAACCGACACAGGUGGGCGAGAUGAGUAUUCUAAGGCGCUUGAGAGAACUCGGGAGAAGGAACUCGGCAAAUUGGUACCGUAACUUCGGGAUAAGGUACGCCCUUGUAGCUUGACUGGCCUGCGCCAGGAGGGUGAGAGGGUUGCAAUAAACUGGUGGCUGCGACUGUUUAAUAAAAACACAGCACUCUGCAAACACGAAAGUGGACGUAUAGGGUGUGACGCCUGCCCGGUGCCGGAAGAUUAAAUGAUGGGGUGCAAGCUCUUGAUUGAAGUCCCGGUAAACGGCGGCCGUAACAAUAACGGUCCUAAGGUAGCGAAAUUCCUUGUCGGGUAAGUUCCGACCUGCACGAAUGGCGUAACGAUGGCCACACUGUCUCCUCCCGAGACUCAGCGAAGUUGAAGUGUUUGUGAUGAUGCAAUCUCCCCGCGGCUAGACGGAAAGACCCCAUGAACCUUUACUGUAGCUUUGCAUUGGACUUUGAACCGAUCUGUGUAGGAUAGGUGGGAGGCUAUGAAACCGGAACGCUAGUUUCGGUGGAGCCGUCCUUGAAAUACCACCCUGGUUUGUUGAGGUUCUAACCUUGGUCCGUUAUCCGGACAGGGGACAGUGCAUGGUAGGCAGUUUGACUGGGGCGGUCUCCUCCCAAAGUGUAACGGAGGAGUACGAAGGUACGCUAGGUACGGUCGGAAAUCGUGCUGAUAGUGCAAUGGCAUAAGCGUGCUUAACUGCGAGACCGACAAGUCGAGCAGGUGCGAAAGCAGGUCAUAGUGAUCCGGUGGUUCUGUAUGGAAGGGCCAUCGCUCAACGGAUAAAAGGUACUCUGGGGAUAACAGGCUGAUACCGCCCAAGAGUUCAUAUCGACGGCGGUGUUUGGCACCUCGAUGUCGGCUCAUCUCAUCCUGGGGCUGUAGCCGGUCCCAAGGGUAUGGCUGUUCGCCAUUUAAAGAGGUACGUGAGCUGGGUUUAAAACGACGUGAGACAGUUUGGUCCCUAUCUGCCGUGGGCGUUGGAUAUUUGAAGGGGGCUGCUCCUAGUACGAGAGGACCGGAGUGGACGAACCUCUGGUGUACCGGUUGUCACGCCAGUGGCAUCGCCGGGUAGCUAUGUUCGGAAGAGAUAACCGCUGAAAGCAUCUAAGCGGGAAACUCGCCUUAAGAUGAGAUAUCCCCGGGGACUUGAUCCCCUUGAAGGGUCGUUCUAGACCAGGACGUUGAUAGGUCAGGUGUGGAAGCGA